ACCUGCCCCUCCUUCCCCCUGUGGCUUCUUCCUUUCUUCCCGCCCGUCUGAGAGGGACUGGUCUGGAGAAGCCUCUCCAGACGUCCCUGCGAAUGACGGUACUCGGCGGGCGGCUGUGGAACGGAGGCCGAGCGACCUCCACAGCUCCCGCAGUGUGGCAACAGAACAGCAGUCUGGCAUCACGCUAGCUCUGUGUCUAGAUUCCCCUGUUGCUACUGAAAAGAUGGAGGAGAAAACAGGAGAAGAAGUGGGCUGUCAUGGCAAGGGGCUUUGCGUCUCUGCCCUGGACGAUGUCCCGUGUGUGGGACAGGCUGCUCGAUAAGCUCUCCUCCCCAUACUCGGUUCGGGGGAUGCGCUGGGAGAGCUCCGAAAGUUUUGUCAACAGGAGUAUAAGCAUCCAAACUGCGAGGUUUUAAUGAGGAUGCUGGUGCUCCGGCAGUAUUGGAAUCGGCGCCAGCAGCACUGUCCGUCUGUGCCUCCAUUCGUCUGCAAGGCACGGCACAGUCGGAAGACGCGGUGACGCCAGUAGGGGAGAGGGAUGAGGACGGUGAUAUAUUGCUCAGGGCAAAAAUGAGUGAGAACCGUCGUUUUGGUGUCAAAACAGCCAUAGCAGUUUGAGGUGUUACCAGAACAGAAGGACAACGCCCUUCACAGAAGGACAAACGGACAAACGCCACCACCACAUCUUCUUCCCUAGAACCUCUACAGCCCGUCUGUUCUGCCGUUGCUUUUAAUCUUUAUUUUACCACGGCCCGGAGUGAAAGCGGUGCUCAGAUAAUCUGCUCGCUCCUUUGGCUGAGAUGCCUAUGCUAAGAAAAACAACUCGAAAUUGUUACCCUAUUGACGGGCGGAGAAAUUUACACUCGGGUUUUACUAUGUGGUAGAUGUAGCAGAGUUUUGUGUAUUUCCCUCCGUGUGCAUCGCUGGUACCGAUCAGCACAUGCAGCACGGCAGCUGAAACACGUGAACGGAAGACGCGUCUCGCGUGAUUUUGCAAAUGCAUUUAGCAGCGACGCUGCUUUUAAAUUUAAAUAUUUUAUGGACAUAAGCCCAAAGCGCCCACUGGGAAAAAAUAAAAAAAUAAUACCACCAAACAACUAAAAAGAAACACCAACACACACACAACAUAUCAUAUUCUUAUAUUUUUUCUGAAAUCAUUUCCUGGAGAUGCAGAAGAAACGUCCUAUGAGAGACAGGUUACUCUUCUGUCUAUCCGCAGCCUGUUGAGAUAUGAGAAAACCACAAAUUCGUAAGAGGAGAUGUGGAAAGUCAAUCAAAAAAAGAAGAACCUGAAAAAGAAGGGGCGGUUAAUCCAAUCAACCACCACCUCUAACUUCCCCGGAGUACAUCUUUUCCCUGACAUCCUACUGCGUUUAGAGCAUUUCCCCGCCAUUCUCUCGCUGAAGAAUUACAUUUCUGUAACAUCAAACCUUUCGUUUUCAUUACUUUUAUUAAAAAGAACAAGGGAGAAUCGAGGGAAGAUAAAAUCCUGCUACGAUCAGCUAACAAGAACUUCCGAGAAAAAGGUAUUUCCACGCAACACCGGUACAAAUUCAACAAGGAACGGGGGGCCAUUCUGCAAGGAGGAAUACUAAAAUGUUGUUGUUCCCUGAGAUAUUGCAGCUCCGUCCCCCUGCGUAUCGUAAGCCCAACUUCUCUUCAAAUAGACACCCACAGACCGACACAAUAUUUUGAUCGCGGCAAACAACACGCGAAGCGCGGUGUAAGGAGGGGAAGGAGGCGACAGUUACCACACCCCACGCCCUCUGGGGAAGGAGGGGCGAGUUACCACACCUCACGCUCUCUGGCGACUGAGAAGUAGAGAUGGAACAGAGAGCCGAGAAUGUUGCCUGUCACCCGAGGGAUGCUCUACUUGCGGAGCAUGCUUCUUCUCGCUUUUUAAAAUUAUUAUUUUUUUAAAUUUUGUUGGGGCAGAGUUCAUACACGGCGGCCAGGGGUAUCAGUAGGACAGCACUGGAAGGGCACGUCCUGGACAGUAUCAGUAGGGUAUCAGUAGGACAGCAGGAUAUCAGUAGGACAGCGCUGGAGACGAACUGCACCGGGAGGUGACGCUAUUCCCCCGCCGCCGAGGAGGAUGAGGUGUGCGGGGCUCGGGGCAGCCGGGAUGGGCAGCCGCGGGCCCUGGGCGGGACCGAUCCCACGGAGGAACUGAAUGUCCUCCUGCCUCCUUCCCGCCUUUUCUACCCUCUCAGAAGUGGAGUCCGGCCUGCCCAGGCAUUGUACACUGGCCGGGGAGGGAGAGGUAAACAUGAACCUGCAGACUGAAUUUAAAAUCAAAUCAAAACAUAGCAAGGCCAUGAAACAGGGAAAAAAAAAAAAAAAAAAAAAAAAAAAAAAAAAAAAAAAAAAAAAAAAAAACCAGGAAAAAAAAAUCUUAUUCACUCCCCUGCCACAUUCGUGGGAAACAGAAAUAACAGAAUAACAGUGCAUUCCAAACCUUGUCUUUCUGAUGAGUUAUUUUACACCUAGGUAUAAGCUGAAUACUCAAAUAAAAGAAAAGAAACGACAUCGAGAAAAUUUGGUUCAUUCCUCUUCAGCCCAUGCCACAAGCCAAAACAAUGCCUUGCACGGAGUCGACUGCUCUGGCCCAUCAUCCCUGGCUGGAGCUGAAGUUGGCAUUCUGCAUGCUCGCAAAACACACCCAUCAAAGAGUUUAGUAUACUUCAACCUCUGAAAACCUUAACAUUUAGUGAUCACAUGAAUUCUGGAUGAAAGAAACACAACUUCCAUCCCCUCUUCUUCUGCUCCUCUUGAUUUCUGCCUUUGUACCUCUAAUAAGGAGACAUGUUCUUAACCGCAAAAAAAGGGUCAUUGGCUUUUUAUUAUUAUUUCCAGAGGAGGUACACAGUGAGGAUGUAUACGUACUGAAAGCUUUUGUUUAAAAAAAAUAGAUUUGAGUGUGUGUGUGUGUGUGUGUGUGUGUGUGUGUGUGUGCGUGCGUGUGUGUGUGCAAAGAUAAAACGCUAAAUUCUGGGUUUUUUUCUCGUACGGGAAAAAAAAUCGUCAUGCCAAAUGACUUCAAUUAUUUCACCAAAUAUCUGGUUUACGUUCUACAUUUUUUCAUUUCAAUAUUUCAGUCUUGCAGGGGAAACAAGAAAGUAAAAACAAAAGGGAAAGUAAAGAGAAGAGAAAAAGAAAAAAUGAGAAAAUACAGUACCUGCACCUUCACUUUUCUAAAAAAUAAUGCUUAUGUGUAGAACAAUAUGCAGUUUGGAUUAUUUACAAAUAGUAUAAGAAGACAGGGAUGAAAAAAAGUGGGAGAAAAUUGAAGUGUCUGGGUUUAGAGAAGGAUAGGUAUUGAAAGCACUGAUGGGGAGGGAAAAAAGGAAUGAUAGGGGAAAAUGAAUGAGAAUAUGGAGAAAAGUAUUUAUUUCAGGCAUUUAUUAUUUACAACCCAGCAAUCUGUCUCAUGCAGCGGCCACUCCAAAUCAGAGUAUUAUUAGUGCUGUUAUAUAUUAAUUUGUUUAUCUAUCCUUGGAAAUCCAAGAAAUCGCCAACUUCGGUGGCAUUUCAGUCACCCUGGAUGAUCCGUACAGAUGCGCAGCGGAACAUAGGCACCACUGGUUUUAGAGGUAAAUCCUGAUAUUAGGCCGAUAUUGGGCAAUGUGUAUGCGGGGUGGCUGAGGAGGGGUGGGGGCUGUGUUUAUGCUACUCUACCCGUCAUGUUUAAGUGUCAAGUGUCUGGGAUCUGAGGGAACACGUAGCUCUCCCCAUGAUGCCCGUGACCCGGCGGAGGCGCAGGCAGGGCGAGGAAGGGGUGCGCUGACACCCCUCCAGCCCCAGGGCUGAUACAAAAGAGACCGCUGUGAUUCGCGAGGCCGCCGUGCAGUAAAGCGGGGCGAGGAGGGGAAAGGAGGGGGAGGAAAGCUAUGAGGCGGACUCCCGGCAUCAUGGCGGAAUUUAGUCCGGGAGCGGAGGCGGCGGCUACCCCCGUCCUGUCGGGGCUGGAGCGAGGCGCGGAGUAAGCCACCAUGGGGUGCGAGGGACGAUGUGGGAUGCGCUACAGGGACGGAAAGACGGACAGACCCACGCUCACUUUUGCCCGCCUCCCCGCACACGCUAACGCGACUCCGCAAGGGAGCGACAGCUGCACGUGCGCUCACGUGUGCUUAUUAUAAGAAGGAGAUGGGCGAGGGAUGGGUUGCGUCCGCGGGCCGGGAAUCCCCGGCACCCGCUCUAGGUAAAAAUGUGUAGAAAUGGUGCUUUCUUAAUGGAUUGCUGCUAUGGUAAGGUAAGAGCUAAUCUGAUGGAUGACCGUGUCGAUUUCCGUUUUGGGAGAGUAUUAAUUUUUUACACGUUUUACGUGUAGGCACAUGACUGUUUUUUACUGGGUGACAUGUCAGCGUAGGGCUUGUAAAACUGGAGCGAGGAGUAGCGCUGGAAAUAACUUUAGAAACGACAAAGAAGUAAAAGAUACUUGUGAUGAAACGGGCACAGAAUAAGAGACACUCCAACCUUUAUUUUAAAAAAUACAUACACAGUAGUCUUUGGGGAGGGCUAACUUUUGCCCGAUAUGUCCAUUCAGAUAAGUCAUCAAUAAUCUACGCAUGCAAUUGAGCUUUUGAAAAAGAAAAUAAAAUACUAUGCAUGGGCUUUUUUUUUUUUUUUUUUUUUUUUGCCUUUUUUUUUUUAGUGGAAUAACUUUUUUUGUUUAAAAACAACAUUCCUGGACUUUAAAAAGAACAUUCAUGGACUAAAAAACCAGCACAAUCUUUUGGUUUUACUAUUUAAACUACUCUCUUUUCAUUACACGUUAAGGUAAACUGAAAUGUGCUACCUGUGAUUGUCACAUAAUUCAAGGCCGAUGGAUUUUCAGAUAAAGCAGGUGUAAGUCUAGAAGCAGUAUUUUAAAAAAUAAUCUAAACGCUCUUUCUGAGAAGGAUUAGGUGCUGGAUUCAAAUAUGCACAUGUUAGAAACCAUAUGUCACACAUUUAAUAAUGCAGCACCUAAGACAGAAAUUACAAAAUGUCUUCCUCGGAGAAAGCUCUCCAUACCUCGCUCUGCAUAUUUUAAGAAAGAAUUUUGAAAUAAAAUUUUUCUGCAAUAAAGGCAGAUACAAGUGCACUUAGAGGGCGUAAAACAGCAAUGAAAUCUUUUAAAUACAUUUAAAUUGCCCCCAGAACACCUCUUAUCUAUAUUGCUUUAUACCUUAAAAUGGGACAGAAGAGGAGUGGUUUGUUGGUGAUUUCUAGAUCUUGGUUUUCUUAAUAUGAAUUUACUUAGACAAUCAAUUUCCAGUCUCCAGCUAGCAGUGUGAAAACUGAGCAGGGUAGUAAGACCCUCAAGUCUUUUUAAUGUCCAGUAAACAUCUUGUGCGCUUUGAUUUGUAUAACUAGCACUGUUCAUUAACUGUAAUCUUAUACAGAAUAGAAGCAUGGAGGAAACUGGAUAUAAAGACACAUACACUGCAGAGUCUCACCAAAACACGGGGAAAUAGGAGAGAGGUGCGGGAAAGGACAAGUGUAUCUAAAGAAAUAGAAAGGAAGGAGCAAAGGACAAGUGGUAGGCUGCAAUUUUCAGUAAAUCAAAAACAGUGCAAAUAUACCUUACAUAUGCAUCAGUAUUAAAAGUAACACACGCUGGAGCCAACAGGAGCAAGAGGAGGAGAAGAGAAUGGCGCAACAGUGGAUCUCGGCUCACACACAGCGGCCGCCCGCGCCCAUACGGGCUCUUCUACGCGCCGCAGCCCGGACCCGAUCGCUCAUUUCGGGGAUGUUUGUUUUGUUGAUAAUGAUGAUGAUAUUUGGAAGAAAAGGGAAGGCCCCGCUAAUUCCCGCCGAUUAGGAUCUUCGCAAAUAGGGUCGAUCGCUCCCAGAACCCGCGGUCUCUUCUCCGAAUAGGGGGAUUUGUAUAUUCUUUUAUUUUCUUUUUUCUUUUUUUUUUUUAAUGCCCUGCUUUCGUUAAUGCAUGUAAGUGUGGACGGAUAUGCAGAAUGCUUUCAGUUGACGUCAACAGACGCGACCUCUCCGCUAAGCAUUGAACGUGAAGAGGGGAUGGGGGAACUCGGGGCGAGGGCGCAGUCCCACUCUACGCCAUGAAAUGAGCUCUAGCAGCAGGAGCAGUUCUGCCCAGCCUAGAGCUUGACUCCAAAAGUAAGCCGACCUCAUCGCAGCACUGCAGAGUCCGUCCAGCCUUUUCUAUCUUUUUUCUUUCAAUUUUUUGUUAUGUAUAUAUAUAGAUAUACAUAGAUAUAGAUAUAGCUAUAUAUAGUAGUAAUAGUAGUAAUAGUAGUAGUAGUUGUAGUAGUAGUGGUGGUGGUGGUAUUUGGACGUUAUUUGCUGCUUCUUUUCAUCAGGAGACGAGCGGAAAUUAGAAACUUCCAAGCAAUUUUAAAAGGUAAUAAGAAAAUUCCCCUCUUCCUACCCAAAGCGUUGCAUGACAGAGGAACGUUGAGCCGGUGAGGGCGUAGCAUUCCUCCGGACGCUGCUCUGUUGUGCAUCGCAGGUACUGGGCUCGAAGAGAGGAAGUGGGGGAAGACAGGCUGGCGGCCGAAGGAGUGGGGUAAUCUUCAUCUCGGGUCGCAACCGCUGCCUGUCUGAUCUGCAAGUCCAAGGCGCUCUCACGGCUUUGCAGUGAUGCUUUCUCACUCCAUCGGGAGGAGACGCCGUGUAAACGGGGAUUCGGUGAACUACCCAUACCGUACUGGCGAGGAGUAGGUCAGAGCAUUCUGUCCUCCUCUUUCCCUUCCCUCACUCCUUUUGGAGACUCUGCGGUGCGUCGUGAUGUUUGGGAGAACUUCAACUUCCCAGGGUACUUCAGACGGCGAAGAGCCAGGUUGAGAUGUAGCAGUGGCUUAGAAACGAGUGGUGUUCUCUGUGAGGACCAGGGUUUCUCUCCUUUUCUGCUGACAUUGUUUAUGCUUUUUUAGCUUUCUAUGAGCUGUUCCAGAGUAUCUCUGUGGACCUCGACACAGCCGUUCCUACGGCUGCACACCGCAUACUCACUCACUGCUUCUCCCUUCAAGCAUCUCAACUAAACUUAAAUGCUCUCUCCAGGAAGCGGAAACGUCUCCGAAGGCUGUGCCGGCAGGGAAUACCUGUCUGCCCGGGGCUGCUGCGGGGCUCUCCACGUGGAAAUAUUCCGCAGAAGUCUGCGGCUGGGAACGGCAGAGCGCCUUCCCUCUCCCUGGAGCCGAGCGCCGCGGGGUACAGACGCCUGUAUCUAGAAAUAUUUAUAUGGAUGGAUGCAUACAUAUCCAUACACACACAUGUGUCUGUGUAGAGGCAUCGGUAGGGUGUAUAUAUGUGUAUGUAUGUAUUUAGUAUUUUUUUAGCGUCAUCCCCCCACCCCCUUCCCCCGCCAACCCCCAUCGCUCGCAGCCCCCUCCCCUCCGAGGGGCACCGUGUAUACACGUGUUUGGUAUAUCCGACCCAAAGUGAGGAGCCAGCAGGACAUCGCCCCCCCUCAGUUACACCCCACACGCACAGAGGCUAGAGCAGGGACGAGCCGUCCUGUCAUCCCCUCGCCCUGCAUACCUCCCUCUAUUCCUCCCUCCUCCAUCUCUCCCUCCACCCCUCCCUCACUGCACACCUCCCGUUCCGGCGCUAACCCAAACUUCUUCCCGCAGGCCCCCGCCCCCCGCACCCUAAAACCUAGGUGGGGCUUUUCUGGGGUUUUCAUGCUGUUCUCAAACCCGGAGAGAUGGAUGAGAGGGCGCAGAAGGAAACGGCAGUGCUUUAGGACAUCCUCCUCCCAGUGACGAGAGUACACGCUACAAGUUCACCUGACCACCUGACAACAGGAAUGGGAAGAGUGUUUUUUGUUAACACCAUGAUUUUUCCUGUUUGUUUUUUGGGAGUUUGGGGGGGGGGGGGUGGUGUUACCUGCUGUUGACUGGUUGCUUGGUUUUGACAGGAGCUGCACAAAAUAUCAGUGCCUCCCAAAAUCAAGACUCAAAUGAAACCAUUCUUCAGAAGUUAACUGGAGGAAAACACCCUCGACCUUUUGCUUCACUUUUUUUUUUAACUCGACCUUUUGCUUCACUUUUUUUUUUCUUUUUUUUCUUUUUUUUUUUUUUAUGUUUCCCAAGAAAUGCAAGCUUUCCUUCUUCUCUAGGAUAAAAAGUACUCAUUGCCCUUCUCUGCACCAGACAUUUCUAAUUUGUUCUAUUGUCAGAACGGGACUAUGAGAGAUUUUGGUGCUAAUUCAUUAUUUCUGACAACGCAUAGGAACUGAACGCAUAUAGUAGGAACUGAAAAAGACCGUGGCAAUGGAUGAAGAACAAUAGGGCUUCAGUUCAUCAGCAACAAAAGCGUUGGAGAAAUUGGCUGAAUUUCGGAGGACUUCCUCCUCAGCAGAGAGGCUGGACUAGAUCUUGGUCAAACCCCCCAAAAAACUUGCAGAAUCUCACAUACAAUAGUUCACUUUCUACUCUGGGGCGUAGGAAACAGUGUGGAAAAAUAAAAAAAAAAUAAUGGCAAACCCAAGCCAACUUUCUCCAUUUCUCUCCCGUUUUCAUGGAUGGAAGAUUUUAAACUAUUUUGGAGUUGUUGGAACAAGAACAACACCGUGGAUCUAAGGGACACUUUUAAAUAGGGAGGAAGAAGGGAAACACAUGAAUUUCUGAACACCUGAAAGAGCUUUUUCUGCUCCUAGGGGCCUUGGCCAUGGGAAUUUUUGUUUGCCACCAGAGGCUCAACUCACCCCCUACAUGUGGGGUAAAAUCAUUCCCUGAUAAAGGCGAAGAUAAUGUAAGUACUGCA
This is an RNA transcript of Motacilla alba alba, 8724 nucleotides long. RefSeq lists it as uncharacterized. The record is from RefSeq and is a predicted model, not a curated record. NCBI's taxonomy places the organism in Eukaryota, Metazoa, Chordata, Aves, Passeriformes, Motacillidae. The transcript has 3 exons.